Molecule: ribosomal RNA, 497 nt
Filed under: uncultured bacterium
Lineage: Bacteria
Description: partial 16S ribosomal RNA
Rfam family: Bacterial small subunit ribosomal RNA
Source: RNAcentral
GAUGAACGCUGGCGGCGUGCCUAAUACAUGCAAGUCGAGCGAACGGACGAGAAGCUUGCUUCUCUGAUGUUAGCGGCGGACGGGUGAGUAACACGUGGAUAACCUACCUAUAAGACUGGGAUAACUUCGGGAAACCGGAGCUAAUACCGGAUAAUAUUUUGAACCGCAUGGUUCAAAAGUAAAAGACGGUCUUGCUGUCACUUAUAGAUGGAUCCGCGCUGCAUUAGCUAGUUGGUAAGGUAACGGCUUACCAAGGCAACGAUGCAUAGCCGACCUGAGAGGGUGAUCGGCCACACUGGAACUGAGACACGGUCCAGACUCCUACGGGAGGCAGCAGUAGGGAAUCUUCCGCAAUGGGCGAAAGCCUGACGGAGCAACGCCGCGUGAGUGAUGAAGGUCUUAGGAUCGUAAAACCCUGUUAUUAGGGAAGAACAUAUGUGUAAGUAAAUGUGCACACCUUGACGGUACCUAAGCAGAAAGCCCCGGCUAACUACGUG